GUGUACGUACAUACAUAUAUUGAUAUAUAUUUUUAAUAUUUUUAAUUUUCUAUAGGUAAGCGAUUAACAUAAUGCUUUCGGUUAAUAAAGAAACAUGUAACAGUUUUAUUAAGUUGUGGUAGAGAAGUAUUUAAUUUAGUCAGUCUUUCGCAUGUGAUUUCUACCUAAAAGUAUUUUAAAACAGUUAGUUAAAAGAAGGAAUUUCUAUUUAUAUUUAAUGUCCACUGACCAAUAGGAAUUAAUUGUUUCAUAUUUAGUAUUCUUUUAAAAAAAGAAACAAAGUAUUAUCAAUUCAUAUCAUGAUUUUAAAAUAAAAAAUAAAAAUAAAAAAUAGUACUAGUUGCAAAAAAAGAAUUAAAAAAAUAUUUUAACACUGCCAGCAAAAGACUAAAACCUUAAAUCAUAAAUCCUAAACCAUUGGAUAAGUUUAGUGUGCCCCAACCCUUAUCUUAGCAUAAUAAUAAUCAAAAUAAUUAACUUAUUAUAAUACUAAUGAUAUACUUUACAUGCGUUAUACGUAUUCGUAUUAAUAUUAAACAAAUUUCAUCGUAAAUUGUACUUUACUAAUGUUUUUGUGGUUUAAAUAUAUGUUAAAUUAAGAUAAUAGUAAUUAAAGUUGAUGAAAGCAUGUUCGAAUGAUACUGAUUUGUUAUAUGAUUACUUCGUGGGCUAAGUUUUAAAAUUGAAAUUUGUUUUCUU
Molecule: long non-coding RNA, 699 nt
Filed under: Brassica rapa (field mustard)
Lineage: Eukaryota; Viridiplantae; Streptophyta; Magnoliopsida; Brassicales; Brassicaceae
Description: long non-coding RNA (BRAP_LNC003978)
Source: RNAcentral